AGCCUGUGGUUCCUGGCAUCCAGCUCCCAAGACCUUUGCAACUUUGAGAUGCUAGGAGCUCCACCUUGGAAUGUUCUAGAAAAGAGAAAGAAGGCCAAGGAAGUCACCAGAAGCCAGUGAUGUCAUCAAUCACACCUGUGUAAUGACUUCUGCAAAAAAGCCAAGAAGGACGGAAGUUUAGAGAGCCUUUAUGAAUGAAAACUUCAUUCACAUGCCAGGUGGUUGGUGUACCUAGCUAUAGACCCGUGGAAGAGGCUACACGCAAGACCCUCUCAGACUUUACUUUGUACAGCUCCUCAUCUGUCCAUUUGGGUCUACUUUUAUUAUGCCCUUUCUUAAUGAACUGAUCCCAUUCUAUUUCCACGAGCUCCCUGAUCCCGUGUCUUAACUAGGAAAAUCAAAUGACGUAUCUGGUAAGCCUGUGGGAAAAUAUGCUGGAUCUCCCAAACGUGAUAAGAAGCCAGUCAAAAUGACGGGUGUGAGAAACAACCA
Molecule: long non-coding RNA, 492 nt
Organism: Mastomys coucha (southern multimammate mouse)
Lineage: Eukaryota; Metazoa; Chordata; Mammalia; Rodentia; Muridae
Exons: 3
Source: RefSeq, a predicted model, not a curated record